CCAAAUCACCAGGACACAGGGGUUGCAGAGUGCAAACAGCAAUUGCCACUGCAUCCCCUGUGUCCUGGUGAUUUUGU
This 77-nucleotide microRNA precursor is filed under the name Dipodomys ordii (Ord's kangaroo rat). RNAcentral's name for it is "mir-1421 microRNA precursor family". The record is from Rfam by way of RNAcentral. Lineage: Eukaryota; Metazoa; Chordata; Mammalia; Rodentia; Heteromyidae.